Molecule: long non-coding RNA, 323 nt
Filed under: Setaria italica (foxtail millet)
Lineage: Eukaryota; Viridiplantae; Streptophyta; Magnoliopsida; Poales; Poaceae
Description: long non-coding RNA (SITA_LNC004006)
Source: RNAcentral
CAAACAAUCGUUUAUUCUCUCUGCCACCUGCUGGGCUGUGAGGUGCUCAUUUUUUUCAUAACUACUUCUGGUUGCUUAAGGUUAUCCGCACCGCUGGACUGCAAAGAAAACGCAACUAUAAAUUUGGAGGUGAGACCCCCGCAGUGCAACCCUCUAUCGCACCCUCUACAAUUCCGUUUGCUACAACAAACCUCCAAACUCGGAGGUGGAGAGAGGAACGCUAUCCUCAACCAUCGCGGCGCGAAGCAACCGUCGCGGCCGGAUCCGUGCGUUGGAGGCGGGGAGGAGGGAGCCGUGGCCGCCAACGGGGAGGAGGCACUAGC